Catharus ustulatus (Swainson's thrush) is the source of this 296-nucleotide long non-coding RNA. RefSeq lists it as uncharacterized. The record is from RefSeq and is a predicted model, not a curated record. The transcript is spliced from 3 exons. NCBI's taxonomy places the organism in Eukaryota, Metazoa, Chordata, Aves, Passeriformes, Turdidae.
UAAAGGGUCAUCUGUCUUCUGGUUUUCCUUGGAGUUUAUUUAAUAAGCCUCUUUGUGGGAAUAGUCUCUAAAAACGUCUGAUUUUGGAAUCUUCCUUUAAUCUGUUUGCACGAUGGUGAAUUGCAAGGCCAGGAACACUGUGUUCGUGGCCAUGUUACUGGAAGUGGCAGACAGACCUCUUGGGCAGCUCACUGCCUCUGUGAGAGCAGUUGUCAUGGGAGGAGAGGAGUGUGUGUGGCGCUCAGAUGUACCGGGUGCUUUCAUCAGUGGAGCAGAAUGUUUGGCACCAGAGGUUA